GGGCCCUUGGUGUAACCUGGCAGCACCCGACGCUUGGAACGUCGAGGUGGCCGUUCGAAUCGGCUGGGGCCCA
This 73-nucleotide transfer RNA is filed under the name Methanobacteriota archaeon. Its description in RNAcentral is "Euryarchaeota archaeon tRNA-Pro". It matches the Rfam family "tRNA". Rfam says of the family: Transfer RNA (tRNA) molecules are approximately 80 nucleotides in length. Lineage: Archaea; Methanobacteriati; Methanobacteriota. The record is from RNAcentral.